Molecule: ribosomal RNA, 466 nt
Filed under: uncultured Syntrophus sp.
Lineage: Bacteria; Pseudomonadati; Thermodesulfobacteriota; Syntrophia; Syntrophales; Syntrophaceae
Description: bacterial SSU rRNA
Rfam family: Bacterial small subunit ribosomal RNA
Source: RNAcentral
CCUACGGGGGGCAGCAGUGAGGAAUCUUGCGCAAUGGGGGAAACCCUGACGCAGCAACGCCGCGUGAGUGAGGAAGGUCUUCGGAUCGUAAAGCUCUGUCAGUUGGAAAGAAAUGUCUGAGAGUCAAUCCCUUUCAGGCUUGACGGUACCAACAGAGGAAGCACCGGCUAACUCCGUGCCAGCAGCCGCGGUAAUACGGGGGGUGCAAGCGUUGUUCGGAAUUAUUGGGCGUAAAGAGCGUGUAGGCGGCCGGAUAUGUCAGAUGUGAAAGCCCCGGGCUUAACCCGGGAAGUGCAUUUGAAACUGUCCGGCUCGAGUAGGGGAGAGGGAAGUGGAAUUCCUGGUGUAGAGGUGAAAUUCGUAGAUAUCAGGAGGAACACCGGUGGCGAAGGCGACUUCCUGGCCCUAUACUGACGCUGAGACGCGAGAGCGUGGGUAGCAAACAGGAUUAGAUACCCGUGUAGUC